GGACAACCUGCCCUGAGGACUGGAAUAAUCCCGGGAAACUGGGGGUAAUUCCAGAUAUGUCAGAACUCCUGGAAUGGGUUCUGGCAGAAAGGCUCCGGCGCCUCAGGAUGGGUCUGCGGCCUAUCAGGGUAGUAGUGGGUGUAACGUACCUACUAGCCUACGACGGGUACGGGUUGUGAGAGCAAGAGCCCGGAGAUGGAUUCUGAGACAUGAAUCCAGGCCCUACGGGGUGCAGCAGGCGCGAAAACUUUACAAUGCGGGCAACCGCGAUAAGGGGACCUCGAGUGCUGGGUUACAAACCUGGCUGUUGGGCUGCCUAAAAAGCAGUCUAUAGCAAGGGCCGGGCAAGACCGGUGCCAGCCGCCGCGGUAACACCGGCGGCUCGAGUGGUAACCGCUAUUAUUGGGUCUAAAGGGUCUGUAGCCGGCCGACUAAGUCUCUUGGGAAAUCUGGCAUCUCAAGUGUCAGGCUGCCAGGGGAUACUGGUCGGCUUGGGACCGGGAGAGGUGAGAGGUACCUCGGGGGUAGGGGUGAAAUCUUGUAAUCCUCGAGGGACCACCAGUGGCGAAGGCGUCGCACCAGAACGGAUCCGACGGCAAGGGACGAAAGCUAGGGGCACGAACCGGAUUAGAUACCCGGGUAGUCCUAGCCGUAAACGAUACUCGCUAGGUGUCGGCCACGGUGCGACCGUGGUCGGUGCCGUAGGGAAGCCGUGAAGCGAGCCACCUGGGAAGUACGGCCGCAAGGCUGAAACUUAA
This 758-nucleotide ribosomal RNA is filed under the name Methanosaeta sp. enrichment culture clone B13-A-101. RNAcentral's name for it is "bacterial SSU rRNA". It matches the Rfam family "Archaeal small subunit ribosomal RNA", at positions 102 to 859 of the family's 1478-position model. The record is from RNAcentral. Lineage: Archaea; Methanobacteriati; Methanobacteriota; Methanomicrobia; Methanotrichales; Methanotrichaceae.